CUAGUCGCCCACACCAUCAUGGGCCGCGAUGACAACUUAAGCGUCGUAAACGCCAAUGAGCUCUUCUUUCUUUGGUGUAUGGUCACUGGGCAGCAUAGUAGCACAGGUUUCUUCCUGUGCAACCACCUUCGCCGAAAAUCUUACCAGCCGACAGGCCACAUAAUACUCGACGGGCUCAUCACUACCAUAGCACUUCACUUCGGAUUUGUCCCAGGCCAUCACAAGCUGCGCUCCAUCCCUGGCAUCGCCAGAAUUGAUUAAACCAUAUGCAUAUCCAUGGGGAUAUGUAAG
RNAcentral lists this unclassified non-coding RNA (291 nucleotides) under Hevea brasiliensis (rubber tree). Lineage: Eukaryota; Viridiplantae; Streptophyta; Magnoliopsida; Malpighiales; Euphorbiaceae. The record is from RNAcentral.